This 111-nucleotide small RNA is filed under the name Arabidopsis thaliana (thale cress). RNAcentral describes it as "ATSL273760". The record is from RNAcentral. Lineage: Eukaryota; Viridiplantae; Streptophyta; Magnoliopsida; Brassicales; Brassicaceae.
AUUUCAAGGUUUUUUUAAAGAGUUUUUAAAAAAUUUAUAAGGAUUUUUAAAAGCAUUUUUUAUGUGAGAAAAAAUUGUUACGGGAAAAAAGUUUGGCGGAAAUUUUUUUUU